UGCGGUUUGUCGCGUCUGCUGUGAAAACCCCAGGCUCAACCUCGGGCCUGCAUUGGGUACGGGCAGACUAAAGUGCGGUAGGGGAGAUUGGAAUUCCUGGUGUAGCGGUGGAAUGCGCAGAUAUCAGGAGGAACACCAAUGGCGAAGGCAGAUCUCUGGGCCGUAACUGACGCUGAGGAGCGAAAGCAUGGGGAGCGAACAGGAUUAUAUACCCUGGUAGUCCAUGCCGUAAACGUUGGGAACUAAAUGUGGGGACCAUUCCACGGUCUCCGUGUCGCACCUAACGCAUUAAGUUCCCCGCCUGGGGAGUACGGCCGCAAGGCUAAAACUCAAAGGAAUUGACGGGGGCCCGCACAAGCCGGCGGAGCAUGCGGAUUAAUUCGAUGCAACGCGAAGAACCUUACCAAGGCUUGACAUAUACCGGAAACGGCCAGAAAUGGUCGCCCCGCAAGGUCGGUAUACAGGUGGUGCAUGGUUGUCGUCAGCUCGUGUCGUGAGAUGUUGGGUUAAGUCCCGCAACGAGCGCAACCCUCGUCCUAUGUUGCCAGCACGUAAUGGUGGGAACUCAUGGGAUACUGCCGGGGUCAACUCGGAGGAAGGUGGGGAUGACGUCAAAUCAUCAUGCCCCUUAUGUCUUGGGCUUCACGCAUGCUACAAUGGCCGGUACAAAGGGCUGCAAUACCGCAAGGUGGAGCGAAUCCCAAAAAGCCGGUCUCAGUUCGGAUUGAGGUCUGCAACUCGACCUCAUGAAGUCGGAGUCGCUAGUAAUCGCAGAUCAGCAACGCUGCGGUGAAUACGUUCCCGGGCCUUGUACACACCGCCCGUCAAGUCAUGAAAGUCGGUAACACCCGAAGCCAGUGGCCGAACCCGUAAGGGACGGAGCUGUCGAAGGUGGGAUUGGUGAUUAGGACUAAGUCGUAACAAGGUAACCGUA
RNAcentral lists this ribosomal RNA (934 nucleotides) under Cryobacterium sp. PIC-C24. RNAcentral describes it as "bacterial SSU rRNA". It matches the Rfam family "Bacterial small subunit ribosomal RNA", at positions 574 to 1504 of the family's 1533-position model. Lineage: Bacteria; Bacillati; Actinomycetota; Actinomycetes; Micrococcales; Microbacteriaceae. The record is from RNAcentral.